AGAGUUUGAUCAUGGCUCAGAUUGAACGCUGGCGGCAUGCCUUACACAUGCAAGUCGAACGGUAACAGGUCUUCGGAUGCUGACGAGUGGCGAACGGGUGAGUAAUACAUCGGAACGUGCCCGAUCGUGGGGAAUAACGAGGCGAAAGCUUUGCUAAUACCGCAUACGAUCUACGGAUGAAAGCGGGGGAUCUUCGGACCUCGCGCGGACGGAGCGGCCGAUGGCAGAUUAGGUAGUUGGUGGGAUAAAAGCUUACCAAGCCGACGAUCUGUAGCUGGUCUGAGAGGAUGAUCAGCCACACUGGGACUGAGACACGGCCCAGACUCCUACGGGAGGCAGCAGUGGGGAAUUUUGGACAAUGGGCGAAAGCCUGAUCCAGCCAUGCCGCGUGCAGGAUGAAGGCCUUCGGGUUGUAAACUGCUUUUGUACGGAACGAAAAGCCUCUUUCUAAUAAAGAGGGGUCAUGACGGUACCGUAAGAAUAAGCACCGGCUAACUACGUGCCAGCAGCCGCGGUAAUACGUAGGGUGCAAGCGUUAAUCGGAAUUACUGGGCGUAAAGCGUGCGCAGGCGGUUUUGUAAGACAGAGGUGAAAUCCCCGGGCUCAACCUGGGAACUGCCUUUGUGACUGCAAGGCUGGAGUGCGGCAGAGGGGGAUGGAAUUCCGCGUGUAGCAGUGAAAUGCGUAGAUAUGCGGAGGAACACCGAUGGCGAAGGCAAUCCCCUGGGCCUGCACUGACGCUCAUGCACGAAAGCGUGGGGAGCAAACAGGAUUAGAUACCCCGGUAGUCCAA
Molecule: ribosomal RNA, 793 nt
Filed under: uncultured bacterium
Lineage: Bacteria
Description: bacterial SSU rRNA
Rfam family: Bacterial small subunit ribosomal RNA
Source: RNAcentral